AUGAAAAAGCACAAAGAGCUUAAUGCAUUGAUUGGCUUGGCUGGGGAGAGCCGGAGAAAGAAACCCAAGAAAGGCUCAGGCCACCGCCUACUUCGCACGGAGCCUCCUGACUCAGACUCGGAGUCCAGCUCAGAGGAGGAAGAGGAAUUUGGUGUAGCUGGAAAUCGCUCUCGCUUUGUCAAGGGAGACUAUUUACGAUGCUGCAGGAUCUGUUAUCCCCUCUGUACGUUUGUCAUCCUUGCCGCCUGUGUCGUGGCCUGCGUUGGCCUGGUGUGGAUGCAAGUCGCUCUGAAGGAGGAUCUGGAUUCCCUCAAGGAAAAGUUCCGAACAGUGGAAUCUAAUCAGAAAAGCUCAUUCCAAGAAAUUCCCAAACUUAAUGAAGAACUACUCAGCAAACAAAAACAACUUGAGAAGAUUGAAUCUGGAGAGCUCGGGUUGAACAAAGUCUGGAUAAACAUCACAGAAACGAAUAAGCAGAUUUCUUUGCUGACUUCUGCAGUAAACCACCUCAAAGCCAACGUCAAGUCAGCUGCAGACUUAAUUAGCCUGCCUGCCACUGUAGAGGGACUUCAGGAGAGUGUAGCUUCCAUUGACAACACUUUAAAUAGUGUCCAUCUUGCUGUGGAGGCAGUACAGAAGACUGUGGAUGAACACAAGAAAACUGUGGAGCCACUACAGAGUGACAUGAAUCAGCACACCUUGAAGGAAACCAAUGGAAGCAACCAGAUCAUUCCAUCACCUUCCACUCUAUCUGAACUUGAAAAUAAAACCCACAGUGAGAAUUUGAAACAGGAUAUCCUGUACCUCCACAGCUUUUUAGAGGAAGUAAAUAGUGCCCAAGUUGGGUAGUACCAGAGACAGAAUGAUCUUAAACUCGAGGGGAUGAAUGAGACCAUCAGUAAUCUUACCCAAAGAGUCAACUUGAUAGAAAGAGAUCUGGUUGCUAUGAGCAAGGUAGAAAAGCAAGCGAACCUGUCCUCCAGCAUGGUGAAUGAUAGAGCUGCCACUCUGAAGAGAGAGUCUUUGCAUCAAGUGACCAACAGAAUAGAGUCAGUAAAAUCCCAGGGCAUAAAGAAAGAAGAUAGUUCAGAUUCUCAGGUAUCUAAGCUUAGAGAGAAACUGCAGCUGAUAAGUGCUCUCACGAACAAACCUGAGAGCAGCAGGCCUCCAGAGACUGCCAAUGAAGAGGAAGUACAGAAUUUCACAUCAAAGCCAUCAACAUUGCCAAAAUUCCCACAGUCUCUUGGAGACCACAUUGAGAAGGCUGUCCAGCUAAGACCUGCUUCCCUUCCAGGAAUUUCUAGCAUCGAAGAUCUUCAGGGCUUAUUCCAUAAGACUGGCCAGGAUGUGGAUGGGAAACUGACCUACCAGGAAAUUGAGGACUCCUUAGAGUCUAUUGGGCCAGAACCAGAGCAUUUGAGAGAGUUUGAUUCUGAUGGAGAUGGAAGAUACUCAUUCUUGGAGCUGAGAGCAGCUUUAGGUGUCUAGUCUCAUCAAGCUCAUUUCAGAAGUGGAUGUAUGCUGUGGACUACCUAUUAUCUGCUCAGCUAACAAAAACAACCCUUUACCUACCCAUCAAUCCUCCAGUCCUCCAAACUACAAUAGCAGACACAUUGUCACCUUUUAACUUGUUUGAAAAAGCUAUAUAAAAGUUAUUUUUUUAAAAAAAAGACCAUUUUACUUAUAAUAUUCAGAAAUCUAUGAUUUCCUGAAACCAGUAAGAUCUUAAUUUUAAAAUUGCCAGAAAAAAAGUCAAGCCCUCUUUUUUUUCUCUUUCCUUUUUCUGACGGGAGGAGACCUUAUCUUUUAAAACUGGAAAAUGUGUAUAUAGAGAGACUAAGCCACCUUUUAUAUUUCACAUAAAUUUGCCUUAAAUUAGCUGCACUUUAUACAGACUCAGAAAAUGUCUUUCCUUCAGCAGAUAGACCUUUUCUGUUUGUAAAUAUUUAAAAUGAAAGAGUUGUGCAUAUUUUGUGAGAAGUGGGAAGAAUGGUUUGAAACAGGAUGUGAACAAAUGACUUAUUAUUAAAAAUUGCUAAUCUUAAAAAAAAAAAAA
Non-coding RNA from Odocoileus virginianus texanus, 2056 nucleotides. NCBI's taxonomy places the organism in Eukaryota, Metazoa, Chordata, Mammalia, Artiodactyla, Cervidae. The record is from RefSeq and is a predicted model, not a curated record.